This 467-nucleotide ribosomal RNA is filed under the name uncultured bacterium. RNAcentral describes it as "bacterial SSU rRNA". It matches the Rfam family "Bacterial small subunit ribosomal RNA", at positions 329 to 794 of the family's 1533-position model. The record is from RNAcentral.
ACCCAGACUCCUACGGGAGGCAGCAGUGAGGAAUAUUGGUCAAUGGGCGGGAGCCUGAACCAGCCAAGUCGCGUGAAGGAAGAAGGUACUUAGUAUUGUAAACUUCUUUUGUCGGGGAACAAAGGCGGAGACGCGUCUCCGGAUGAGUGUACCCGAAGAAAAAGCAUCGGCUAACUCCGUGCCAGCAGCCGCGGUAAUACGGAGGAUGCGAGCGUUAUCCGGAUUUAUUGGGUUUAAAGGGUGCGUAGGCGGACGCUUAAGUCAGCGGUAAAAUUGCGGGGCCCAACCUCGUCGAGCCGUUGAAACUGGGUGCCUUGAGUGGGCGAGAAGUACGCGGAAUGCGUGGUGUAGCGGUGAAAUGCAUCGAUAUCACGCAGAACUCCGAUUGCGAAGGCAGCGUACCGGCGCCCAACUGACGCUGAAGCACGAAGGCGUGGGUAUCGAACAGGAUUAGAUACCCUCGUAAG